Molecule: long non-coding RNA, 3330 nt
Organism: Lolium perenne
Lineage: Eukaryota; Viridiplantae; Streptophyta; Magnoliopsida; Poales; Poaceae
Source: RefSeq, a predicted model, not a curated record
GGAAGGAAAAUUCCCCACUAGUCUCGAACUCGCGAUGCCCCUCCGCCGCCGUCUCCGGCGGGGCGGACUCCGCCGCUCCCUCACAACGACCACCCCGCACCCCCCGUUGGCCAUGAUCAACCGCAAAGCGAAGGUCGUCAGAUCUCCGUGCGCGCACGUGCUCCUCGCCAAGCCACCGCGCGUCUCCCAACUAUAUCUCCGAGUGAUGUGGUGCAAUUGCUCGCUGGAGCCGUCUGCACCUGGAUCGGCGACUGCCUCCCCCUCCUCGCCCACAGAGACCUGCACUUCACGGCUCCCGUCAUCACCAAGCAGGCGACGCUCUGCUGCGGCAGCGACCCACCGGCGACGACCCCGACCAAGACCCAGAUGUCACGCGCUUCGUCUUCAACCCUCUCACCCGCCAGCUCUCCCGCGUCCCGGACGUCGAUAUCUGCAACUCUGUGAGCGACGGCUCUUGCGGCCUCGACCACAUGUGCAUCCUAUCGCGGGCAGUGCCCGCCUGGCAGGUUCGCCGUCGCCGGGCUGCUAGGGAACCAGAUGCUCUAGAAGAGGAAUGCGAAAUUGUGCCGGUCUCUCCGUGCCAUCCCUCACUUGCGCGGCGCGUGGAGAUAGGCCAGGGGAGGCAUUGGCAUUCUCAAGAGGGGAAGAACACACAGAUCUAUCUAACGCCAAUGUCGUGUACCUCAUGGUGACGGGCAAGUCGUUGUUGUACCUCGUGGAGAGGGAGGAGGUGAAUGAGAGUUAUCUCUGUAGAAGUGACACCUUGUGUAGUACACAAUGUGUUCUUCCGUCGUGGCUUGGAUUGAGCCGGAUCCCUUCUCCAGGGAAGAAGUACAUUGAGAAAAAACAUGACUUCAGCAGAUGCUCUAGUUUGUUCAGACAGACACUAGAAUGUCCAAUCUUACUUUCCUUUAGCUGAUGCUUGAUUAUUGAUUUUCAUAUGUAUCUCAUCCAGUGAUACGACAUUCUUCGUACAAGUAUGUUUUAGUCAAUCCCUCCAGUUUAUAGAUUGGAAAAACACUGAUGUGCGUAUUUCGCCGAUUACUACUACCAUUUUGAAUAGAGUUUCAAUGUAUCACCAUUCACCAAACAUAUUGUUAUACUUAAUAUCGUUUGCUGCUGGUUUGAGUCUAGUAUGAUAUUCACUCUGAAAAACCUGAACUUGUUCUUCCGUUAAUAUUCUUGCAGCAUCUUGCCAUGGUACCAGAAUUGUCAGUUGGUGUGUCAGCAUGGACCUAUCAUCCUACCAUCCUCAUUACAAGGCAAGAUAUGCUCAAUGCCUGCUAGUUCAGAAACACAUGAGGAUGAUAGGUCCAUGCUGACUCAAAAACAUAUCUACAGUAGUGUCAAUUAACUAGCAUAUCAACUUUGUAGUCCAACACGCAUCUGUAUACCACCAGAUGACUCAAAAAAUUACUAAUAGCCUUAGUUAGUAAAAAUCUGUACUCUGAUUGGUGAUAAUUUGGGUGGCAAAUAGAGUUCUAUGGACAAAAGAGCCUUGGUUCUGUCUUUAUAUAGGAAGGCAAAGGAAAAUAGUUGGUGAAUUGUUUGAGAAAAUGUUGGUGCAUCGAUCUAGUGGCACUUACAUUCCCUUGUUUUUGUGUGUUACAAAUGGUACAAGUACUUGAGGGUGGGACCUCAAGUUUCAUUCCCAAAUCUUCCUUGACUAAAUUUCAGCCCCUUGUCAUAUUUCUACAUGUUAUCCUGGUCAUAAAGAGUUCUUAAAACAAAUCUACAUUAGUAUCAAUUAUUUUGGCUUUUGAACAUAAGUUUUGCAAGUUGUGUGGGGAUAUAUAUUCAGAAGAGAUAUCUGAUAGGCCUUGGCCAAUGGCUUUGGCCUAAACAACAUGACCUGUGACUUAUUUUCUGCCCGCAAAUUAGCAUCCUCCUCCUUUGGUACCUUGUUGCAAGCAAGAAAUUCUGACCACCCUACCACUGAGCUACUGAUUAGAGUUUUCUGCUGUUUAUGAAUCUACAAUUUACACUGCAUGUUCUACAUUUAAUUUCCGUUUGUCGAUAAUUUGUUUUAGAAUAAUUUAAAGAUGUUGUAUCCAUUUUAAUGACACCUCUAGUGUCAUCUUCAAAAUAAAUUUAUUCAUCAAAUUAUCACUUUGUUAGGGCUUAUGGGCACACUCAGAUUAAUUCUUGAUAACCUGCUCUUAGUACCAUAUUUUUCUAGCUCAAUUUCUUGUAUCCAAUGAAGCAUCCUUUAUAAAAAAAAUACAUCUAUAUAUUAUACUGUAUCGUGUUAGUGUUGUUGCUGUUGUUCAAAUUCCUGUGCGUUGAUCAAAUGGACCUUUUUCAGGGAAGAAGUACAUUGAGGAAAACAAGACUUUGGCAGAUGCUCUGGUUUGUUCAGACAGCCAUUAGAAGAGAUGGAGACCAGAGCGGCAGCAUCUGUAAGUCUGUAAGUGAUGGUGGUAGCUAACUGGUGCUGUGGGAAUCUGUAGAAGCCUGCGAUUUUGUAGCCGCUGACCAAGUCGCUGUAUCACAUUUCGGACGAAACGUGUGAAUUUUAUCAGACUUUCUGUUCGCAGUAUGUGCUGUAAACACAUGUAAGACAAUUCGUUCCUAGCAAAAUCGACGCUUCCACCAUGAUUACUCUAAUUAGAUAUCGUAUUUAGGGAUCUCUCCUUUUGUCACAGGUGGUGAACUGACUAUUCCAACUGAUCGGUAUUAAUUGCUUUAAUCUACAGACAUUGCUCUUGCUAAGUGAGAAGGAAGAGGUCAGGUUGCUAUUUCUGACUCGGUGACUCUGAAUUCAGUACUCUGGCUAUUUUCGAAAUGUGCAACUUUACCAACCUUGGCUGUUGUUGUUUAGCGCUGUGCUGCAGUUUAGACGUAUUCAAUACCAUUUUAACGAUAUAAUUGCUGGAACUUUUUUAUACGUAGAUGAUAACUGCUGUAGUUAAAGUCUUAAGCACGGAAGGAGAAAGAAAGUGUUUUUGAAGCUUGAAUGGGUCUGCUAGACAGGGCUACAUAGCAUUGCAGAUGGCCUCGGGUUAGAGCAUCUCUAGCAAUCCCAUAUCUCCAUAUCGGCCCCCAUAUAGCAGUUUGGGUUGAUAUGUGGGUUUAGGCUGUUUUUUUGGACAGGCCAGACCACCGAUGCGGAUAUGUUUUCCAAGCCGCAACCCAAAACCGCUCUCGGUCGCUAUAUAUACUGUUUGGCCGAUCUCGGUCGCUAUAUAUCUUGUUUGGCGACGCGGAUGCAGGUCAAACCACAUCCGCCUCGCCGCCUCUUCCAUUUCUGCUGACGAAAAAUCCGCCACUCUCCGGCGAGCAAUCCCCUUCCUCCUGCGCACGUUCGAGCCAUGGUGGCCGGUGGAGGUU